The sequence is a small nuclear RNA, 181 nucleotides long. Its record names the gene U2. It matches the Rfam family "U2 spliceosomal RNA". Rfam says of the family: U2 is a small nuclear RNA (snRNA) component of the spliceosome (involved in pre-mRNA splicing). Complementary binding between U2 snRNA (in an area lying towards the 5' end but 3' to hairpin I) and the branchpoint sequence (BPS) of the intron results the bulging out of an unpaired adenosine, on the BPS, which initiates a nucleophilic attack at the intronic 5' splice site, thus starting the first of two transesterification reactions that mediate splicing. The record is from Ensembl.
GUAUCAUUUUAGUCUUUUGACUAAGAACAAGUGUACUAUCUCUUUUUGUCAGGUUACCUGUUAUAUCCUCAGUAUGGGAAAAUAUAUUAAAUGGAUUUUUGGAAUUAUGAUAUUAAAAGGGAGAUCAUACCAUCCAGUCCACAUGUCAACCUGAAAUAUUUUGAAAAAAGACUAAAAUUAA